GGACGAACGCUGGCGGCGUGCUUAACACAUGCAAGUCGAACGGUAAGGCCCCAGCUUGCUGGGGUACACGAGUGGCGAACGGGUGAGUAACACGUGGGUGACCUGCCCCGCACUUCGGGAUAAGCCUGGGAAACUGGGUCUAAUACCGGAUAGGACCGCACCGUGAGGGUGUGGUGGAAAGUUUUUCGGUGUGGGAUGGGCCCGCGGCCUAUCAGCUUGUUGGUGGGGUAAUGGCCUACCAAGGCGGCGACGGGUAGCCGGCCUGAGAGGGUGGACGGCCACAUUGGGACUGAGACACGGCCCAGACUCCUACGGGAGGCAGCAGUGGGGAAUAUUGCACAAUGGGCGGAAGCCUGAUGCAGCGACGCCGCGUGGGGGAUGACGGCCUUCGGGUUGUAAACUCCUUUCACCAUCGACGAAGGUUUUCUGACGGUAGAUGGAGAAGAAGCACCGGCUAACUACGUG
Molecule: ribosomal RNA, 465 nt
Filed under: uncultured bacterium
Lineage: Bacteria
Description: partial 16S ribosomal RNA
Rfam family: Bacterial small subunit ribosomal RNA
Source: RNAcentral